GACGUAGGGCGCGAGCGUUGUCCGGAUUUAUUGGGCGUAAAGAGCUCGUAGGCGGCUUGUCGCGUCGGCUGUGAAAUCCCGUGGCUCAACUGCGGGUCUGCAGCCGAUACGGGCUAGCUAGAGUUCGGUAGGGGAGACUGGAAUUCCUGGUGUAGCGGUGAAAUGCGCAGAUAUCAGGAGGAACACCGGUGGCGAAGGCGGGUCUCUGGGCCGAUACUGACGCUGAGGAGCGAAAGCGUGGGGAGCAAACAGG
Molecule: ribosomal RNA, 253 nt
Filed under: uncultured bacterium
Lineage: Bacteria
Description: partial 16S ribosomal RNA
Rfam family: Bacterial small subunit ribosomal RNA
Source: RNAcentral